GGCGGCGUGCCUAACACAUGCAAGUCGAACGCGAAAGUCCCGCAAGGGAUCAGUAGAGUGGCAAACGGGUGAGUAACACGUGGGUGACCUGCCUUCGAGUGGGGGAUAACGUCCCGAAAGGGACGCUAAUACCGCAUGACAUCCCGCCUUUUAAGAGGUGGAGCUUAAAGCUGGGGAUCGCAAGACCUGGCGCUUGAAGAGGGGCCCGCGCCUGAUUAGCUAGUUGGUGGGGUAACGGCUCACCAAGGCAACGAUCAGUAUCCGGCCUGAGAGGGCGGACGGACACACUGGGACUGAGACACGGCCCAGACUCCUACGGGAGGCAGCAGUGGGGAAUUGUUCGCAAUGGGCGCAAGCCUGACGACGCAACGCCGCGUGGAGGAUGAAGAUCUUCGGGUCGUAAACUCCUUUCGAUCGAGACGAACGACUUCCGGGUGAAUACUCCGGAAGAGUGACGGUACCGAGAGAAGAAGCCCCGGCUAACUCCGUGCCAGCAGCCGCGGUAAUACGGGGGGGGCAAGCGUUGUUCGGAAUUACUGGGCGUAAAGGGCUCGUA
RNAcentral lists this ribosomal RNA (556 nucleotides) under uncultured Acidobacteriota bacterium. Its description in RNAcentral is "bacterial SSU rRNA". It matches the Rfam family "Bacterial small subunit ribosomal RNA", at positions 38 to 573 of the family's 1533-position model. Lineage: Bacteria; Pseudomonadati; Acidobacteriota. The record is from RNAcentral.